Oncorhynchus gorbuscha (pink salmon) is the source of this 1554-nucleotide RNA transcript. It is a transcript of the gene named tumor protein D54-like, with no coding region annotated. The transcript has 10 exons. NCBI's taxonomy places the organism in Eukaryota, Metazoa, Chordata, Actinopteri, Salmoniformes, Salmonidae. The record is from RefSeq and is a predicted model, not a curated record.
GAUCCAGCACAGCCUGCACGGGUGGCUAUUUGUGUUUCCCGCAGCAGCAGCAAAGUUGGUUCUGAAUGAAUUAGGAUAGCCUAUACUUGACAAAAUAACAUCGAUGAACAAUAUGUACAAUCUGUAUAAAAAUACAUCGAAUUUGUUUACUCGACAGGUGUACGCCGCCAUCAUCUCACACACUCACGUGCGGGAUUAACUCCCAUUCUUAAAACACUUAGGUGUUGAAUAAACAACGCAACAUAACGUUAAUAUUCCAAUACGACUACAUUAUGUUCUUGAUUUCCUGUAUAUAACUUUGGCAUGUAAACCAUAGCGUGAUACUGAAUGUGAGUAUAGAGAAGCAUUUGAGACAUCCAUUAUUGAACAGUAGGGAUUGGACACCAUUUAGCAAAAGCUAACGAUAGCACGAACACGGAAAAGAAGUGCUGGGUGAAACGGAGUUGUUCAUGCCUCUGCUGAUCAUGAAUAGGCAAGGUUACAGUGGGGAAAAUGUUUCACCAAGGAACAUUUCCAUUGGAAUAUCAGGAAUUGGAAGUCCGACUAACGGUCUAUCAGAGGAGGAUGAGUUUGAUUUAAAGAUGGAGCUGGCAAAGACGGAGGAUGAAAUACAGACUUUGCGGCAGGUACUCUUGGCCAAAGAGAAAUAUGCAAUGGACAUCAGGAGGCAGCUGGGUACUGGCCCCUUCAGUGAGAUUAAACAAAACCUGUCCAAAGGCUGGCAGGAAGUCCAGACCUCCAAUGCAUAUCUGACAGCCUCAGCUACUCUGGAAGACAUCAGCCGAUCUAACGUGUAUAAGAGGACCCAGGAGAGUAUCUCUAAUGCAGGACAGAUGACCAGUGCUGCCCUGUCCACAGUGGGUGUGGCCAUUACAAGGAGACUUGGGGACAUGAGGGCACUGCCUUUGCCAAGCCCACCUCGCCCCUCCUUGGGCCACUCCAUCAGUGUCCCUGCUAUGUCAAUGAGGCUAAUUGCGAACAGUGCUUGGGGAGGAAGAGUCUGGUGAACGACAUUAGAAUGACAUUAAUGCUGCAAACAUUCCAAUACAUUCAAGUCCUUUUGAAGACAUGGUGUGAAGCGUGAAGAACAAUGUGUCCAGGAUUCUAGGGAUUGACAGAGAGAACUCUGGGUCUGAAAGAAGCCCAUCUCAGAACAGUGGUUCCCUCCAACAUAAUCUAUUUUUCUCUCAACCAUCUGUAAUCUCACUACUCCCUUCAUUACUUUAACCUGAUGUCAUGGUCCACACUACCCCUUCAAAGAGUAAACAUUAUGCAGGAGGUUGAUAACUUGGGUAUGGCUUUGACAGUGUUGGUUCCAAACUUUCAUUCAUUCUAAAUAUGAAGUAGUAUUUCCAAUAUGUAGUUAUGUAUGUUGUCCAACUGUUUGAAGGAAAAUGUCAUUGUCAUAUUCUACUAUUGCAUUAUAAGAACAUAACAAUCACAAAUGUACAGUAAUGUAUUUUUGUACUUUAAGAGAAUUUACAAUUAAAACAAAAGUGGUCUGUUCUGAUUUUGGAUACUAUACCUUUCUGGAAAAAUAAAGAGAGAAAUAAA